ACCGGCUUCCUUACGGGGGAGGAGCAGUGGGGAAUAUUGGGCAAUGGGGGCAACCCUGACCCAGCAACGCCGUGUGAGGGAAGAAGGUUUUCGGAUCGUAAACCUCUGUCAGGAGGGAAGAACGGGCUGUAGUCGAACAGGCUAUGGUUUUGACGGUACCUCCAGAGGAAGCACCGGCUAACUCCGUGCCAGCAGCCGCGGUAAUACGGAGGGUGCGAGCGUUAUUCGGAAUUACUGGGCGUAAAGCGCGCGUAGGCGGCACGGCAAGUCAGAUGUGAAAGCCCCGGGCUCAACCUGGGAAUUGCAUUUGAAACUGCCGAGCUGGAGUAAGGUAGAGGGUGGCGGAAUUCCCGGUGUAGGGGUGAAAUCCGUAGAUAUCGGGAGGAACACCAGUGGCGAAGGCGGCCACCUGGGCCUUUACUGACGCUGAGGUGCGAAAGCGUGGGUAGCAAACAGGAUUAGAUACCCUGGUAGUCCACGCUGUAAACGAUGGAUACUAGGUGCUGGGUUUUAAAUUCGGUGCCGUAGCUAACGCGUUAAGUUCCCGCCUGGGAGUCGUCCACCU
RNAcentral lists this ribosomal RNA (565 nucleotides) under uncultured Desulfonatronospira sp. RNAcentral's name for it is "bacterial SSU rRNA". It matches the Rfam family "Bacterial small subunit ribosomal RNA", at positions 330 to 891 of the family's 1533-position model. The record is from RNAcentral. Lineage: Bacteria; Pseudomonadati; Thermodesulfobacteriota; Desulfovibrionia; Desulfovibrionales; Desulfonatronovibrionaceae.